RNAcentral lists this ribosomal RNA (396 nucleotides) under uncultured bacterium. RNAcentral describes it as "partial 16S ribosomal RNA". It matches the Rfam family "Bacterial small subunit ribosomal RNA", at positions 523 to 918 of the family's 1533-position model. The record is from RNAcentral.
AUACGAAGGGUGCAAGCGUUAAUCGGAAUUACUGGGCGUAAAGCGCGCGUAGGUGGUUUUGUAAGUUGGAGGUGAAAGCCCCGGGCUCAACCUGGGAAUUGCCUCCAAAACUGCAUGACUAGAGUACGGUAGAGGGUAGUGGAAUUUCCUGUGUAGCGGUGAAAUGCGUAGAUAUAGGAAGGAACACCAGUGGCGAAGGCGAAUACCUGGACUGAUACUGACACUGAGGUGCGAAGGCGUGGGGAGCAAACAGGAUUAGAUACCCUGGUAGUCCACGCCGUAAACGAUGUCAACUAGCCGUUGGGAUCCUUGAGAUCUUAGUGGCGCAGCUAACGCAUUAAGUUGACCGCCUGGGGAGUACGGCCGCAAGGUUAAAACUCAAAGGAAUUGACGGGG